AACGAACGCUGGCGGCGUGGAUAAGACAUGCAAGUCGGACGCUGAUUGCCGGGUAGCAAUAUUCGGCGGUCGGAGUGGCGAAAGGGUGCGUAACACGUGGGCAAUCUGCCGUGAAGUCGGGGAUAACUUGCUGAAAGGCGAGCUAAUACCGGAUGUGGUUUUGGGAGGGCAUCUUUCUGGAACCAAAGUUGGGGACCGCAAGGCCUGACGCUUCAUGAUGAGCCCGCGGCCUAUCAGCUAGUUGGUGAGGUAAUGGCUCACCAAGGCAAAGACGGGUAGCUGGUCUGAGAGGACGACCAGCCACACUGGAACUGAGACACGGUCCAGACACCUACGGGUGGCAGCAGUCGAGAAUUUUUUCACAAUGGGCGAAAGCCUGAUGGAGCGACGCCGCGUGGGGGAUGAAUGGCUUCGGCCCGUAAACCCCUGUCAUUUGCGAACAAACCUUUCCACCCAACACGUGGAGAGCUGAUUGUAGCGAAAGAGGAAGGGACGGCUAACU
This 502-nucleotide ribosomal RNA is filed under the name uncultured bacterium. RNAcentral's name for it is "bacterial SSU rRNA". It matches the Rfam family "Bacterial small subunit ribosomal RNA", at positions 29 to 502 of the family's 1533-position model. The record is from RNAcentral.